Long non-coding RNA from Phyllostomus hastatus (greater spear-nosed bat), 521 nucleotides. RefSeq lists it as uncharacterized. The transcript has 2 exons. NCBI's taxonomy places the organism in Eukaryota, Metazoa, Chordata, Mammalia, Chiroptera, Phyllostomidae. The record is from RefSeq and is a predicted model, not a curated record.
AAUUGUUUCUUUUUACCCAUGUGGAAAUCCAUUCGUUUUUACCAACAAAUGUGUACUGAAUACCUGUCAUGAGUCAAACACCUUUUGAGGUGCUGGGGAUGAAGAGGUGAAGAAAAGCAGCACAGCCCUCGACCUCACAGAGCUUGCUUUCAGCUGGGGAGACAGAUCACAAUAACCAGACUGGCAAGACUGGAUGUAGAAAAGUAUCACCUAUAGAAAAGUAUUUGCAAAUAAAUGGAGUGCUCUACAACCAAACAUCUCUGCAGAAAAGAAGGGAAGAGAGAAGCCAGCUUUGUGUGAAGAUCGUGAAGGAAAUGGCAUGAGUUGGGGAGUAUCACAUGAAGUUGGGGAGUAUCACCCGAAGUUGGGGAGUAUCACCCGAAGUUAGGGAGUAUCACACGAAGAACAGGCAGCAGGUUUGUGACUCUAAAUCAAAUACAGCAUCUCAUGUAAUCAAAAACUUUAAAACUACAAAAUAUAUGUUAUUUUUGAGUCUACAAAAAUAAAUAUGAAAAACAGGA